RNAcentral lists this ribosomal RNA (253 nucleotides) under uncultured bacterium. RNAcentral's name for it is "partial 16S ribosomal RNA". It matches the Rfam family "Bacterial small subunit ribosomal RNA", at positions 524 to 776 of the family's 1533-position model. The record is from RNAcentral.
UACGGGGGGAGCAAGCGUUGUUCGGAUUUACUGGGCGUAAAGGGCGCGUAGGCGGCGCAACAAGUCACUUGUGAAAUCUCCGGGCUUAACCCGGAGCGGCCAAGUGAUACUGUCGUGCUAGAGUGCGGAAGGGGCUACUGGAAUUCUCGGUGUAGCGGUGAAAUGCGUAGAUAUCGAGAGGAACACCUGCGGCGAAGGCGGGUAGCUGGGCUGACACUGACGCUGAGGCGCGAAAGCCAGGGGAGCGAACGGG